This 3056-nucleotide ribosomal RNA is filed under the name Campylobacter jejuni. RNAcentral describes it as "23S ribosomal RNA". It matches the Rfam family "Bacterial large subunit ribosomal RNA". Lineage: Bacteria; Pseudomonadati; Campylobacterota; Epsilonproteobacteria; Campylobacterales; Campylobacteraceae. The record is from RNAcentral.
AGGUAAGCUACUAAGAGCGAAUGGUGGAUGCCUUGACUGGUAAAGGCGAUGAAGGACGUACUAGACUGCGAUAAGCUACGGGGAGCUGUCAAGAAGCUUUGAUCCGUAGAUUUCCGAAUGGGGCAACCCAAUGUAUAGAGAUAUACAUUACCUAUAUAGGAGCGAACGAGGGGAAUUGAAACAUCUUAGUACCCUCAGGAAAAGAAAUCAAUAGAGAUUGCGUCAGUAGCGGCGAGCGAAAGCGCAAGAGGGCAAACCCAGUGCUUGCACUGGGGGUUGUAGGACUGCAAUGUGCAAGAGGUAAGUUUAGCAGAACAUUCUGGAAAGUAUAACCAUAGAGGGUGAUAGUCCCGUAUGCGAAAAACAAACCUUAGCUAGCAGUAUCCUGAGUAGGGCGGGACACGAGGAAUCCUGUCUGAAUCCGGGUCGACCACGAUCCAACCCUAAAUACUAAUACCAGAUCGAUAGUGCACAAGUACCGUGAGGGAAAGGUGAAAAGAACUGAGGUGAUCAGAGUGAAAUAGAACCUGAAACCAUUUGCUUACAAUCAUUCAGAGCCCUAUGUAGCAAUACAGGGUGAUGGACUGCCUUUUGCAUAAUGAGCCUGCGAGUUGUGGUGUCUGGCAAGGUUAAGCAAACGCGAAGCCGUAGCGAAAGCGAGUCUGAAUAGGGCGCUUAGUCAGAUGCUGCAGACCCGAAACGAAGUGAUCUAUCCAUGAGCAAGUUGAAGCUAGUGUAAGAACUAGUGGAGGACUGAACCCAUAGGCGUUGAAAAGCCCCGGGAUGACUUGUGGAUAGGGGUGAAAGGCCAAUCAAACUUCGUGAUAGCUGGUUCUCUCCGAAAUAUAUUUAGGUAUAGCGUUGUGUCGUAAUAUAAGGGGGUAGAGCACUGAAUGGGCUAGGGCAUACACCAAUGUACCAAACCCUAUCAAACUCCGAAUACCUUAUAUGUAAUCACAGCAGUCAGGCGGCGAGUGAUAAAAUCCGUCGUCAAGAGGGAAACAACCCAGACUACCAGCUAAGGUCCCUAAAUCUUACUUAAGUGGAAAACGAUGUGAAGUUACUUAAACAACCAGGAGGUUGGCUUAGAAGCAGCCAUCCUUUAAAGAAAGCGUAAUAGCUCACUGGUCUAGUGAUUUUGCGCGGAAAAUAUAACGGGGCUAAAGUAAGUACCGAAGCUGUAGACUUGCACACAACUUAGAUUAUUUAAGUUUAGAAUAUGAGAAACUAAGUUAUAUGUUUAGUUAUAUUUUUACUGAUUUUUAUAGAGUAAAGAUAGAAAUAAAACUUAGUAAAAUCAGUAAAAAUAUUCUUAGACUAAAGUUAAGUAGUUUAAGUUGUGUGCAAGUGGUAGGAGAGCGUUCUAUUUGCGUCGAAGGUAUACCGGUAAGGAGUGCUGGAGCGAAUAGAAGUGAGCAUGCAGGCAUGAGUAGCGAUAAUUAAUGUGAGAAUCAUUAACGCCGUAAACCCAAGGUUUCCUACGCGAUGCUCGUCAUCGUAGGGUUAGUCGGGUCCUAAGUCGAGUCCGAAAGGGGUAGACGAUGGCAAAUUGGUUAAUAUUCCAAUACCAACAUUAGUGUGCGAUGGAAGGACGCUUAGGGCUAAGGGGGCUAGCGGAUGGAAGUGCUAGUCUAAGGUAGUAGGAGGUUAUACAGGCAAAUCCGUAUAACAAUACUCCGAGAACUGAAAGGCUUUUUGAAGUCUUCGGAUGGAUAGAAGAACCCCUGAUGCCGUCGAGCCAAGAAAAGUUUCUAAGUUUAGCUAAUGUUGCCCGUACCGUAAACCGACACAGGUGGGUGGGAUGAGUAUUCUAAGGCGCGUGGAAGAACUCUCUUUAAGGAACUCUGCAAAAUAGCACCGUAUCUUCGGUAUAAGGUGUGGUUAGCUUUGUAUUAGGAUUUACUCCGAAAGCAAGGAAACUUACAACAAAGAGUCCCUCCCGACUGUUUACCAAAAACACAGCACUCUGCUAACUCGUAAGAGGAUGUAUAGGGUGUGACGCCUGCCCGGUGCUCGAAGGUUAAUUGAUGGGGUUAGCAUUAGCGAAGCUCUUGAUCGAAGCCCGAGUAAACGGCGGCCGUAACUAUAACGGUCCUAAGGUAGCGAAAUUCCUUGUCGGUUAAAUACCGACCUGCAUGAAUGGCGUAACGAGAUGGGAGCUGUCUCAAAGAGGGAUCCAGUGAAAUUGUAGUGGAGGUGAAAAUUCCUCCUACCCGCGGCAAGACGGAAAGACCCCGUGGACCUUUACUACAGCUUGACACUGCUACUUGGAUAAGAAUGUGCAGGAUAGGUGGGAGGCUUUGAGUAUAUGACGCCAGUUGUAUAUGAGCCAUUGUUGAGAUACCACUCUUUCUUAUUUGGGUAGCUAACCAGCUUGAGUUAUCCUCAAGUGGGACAAUGUCUGGUGGGUAGUUUGACUGGGGCGGUCGCCUCCCAAAUAAUAACGGAGGCUUACAAAGGUUGGCUCAGAACGGUUGGAAAUCGUUCGUAGAGUAUAAAGGUAUAAGCCAGCUUAACUGCAAGACAUACAAGUCAAGCAGAGACGAAAGUCGGUCUUAGUGAUCCGGUGGUUCUGUGUGGAAGGGCCAUCGCUCAAAGGAUAAAAGGUACCCCGGGGAUAACAGGCUGAUCUCCCCCAAGAGCUCACAUCGACGGGGAGGUUUGGCACCUCGAUGUCGGCUCAUCGCAUCCUGGGGCUGGAGCAGGUCCCAAGGGUAUGGCUGUUCGCCAUUUAAAGCGGUACGCGAGCUGGGUUCAGAACGUCGUGAGACAGUUCGGUCCCUAUCUGCCGUGGGCGUAAGAAGAUUGAAGAGAUUUGACCCUAGUACGAGAGGACCGGGUUGAACAAACCACUGGUGUAGCUGUUGUUCUGCCAAGAGCAUCGCAGCGUAGCUAAGUUUGGAAAGGAUAAACGCUGAAAGCAUCUAAGCGUGAAGCCAACUCUAAGAUGAAUCUUCUCUAAGCUCUCUAGAAGACUACUAGUUUGAUAGGCUGGGUGUGUAAUGGAUGAAAGUCCUUUAGCUGACCAGUACUAAUAGAGCGUUUGGCUUAUCUUU